This 114-nucleotide small nuclear RNA is filed under the name Aotus nancymaae (Ma's night monkey). RNAcentral's name for it is "U4 spliceosomal RNA (ENSANAG00000003142.1)". The stretch from base 1 to 81 matches the Rfam family "U4 spliceosomal RNA". Rfam says of the family: U4 small nuclear RNA (U4 snRNA) is a component of the major U2-dependent spliceosome. The structure of U4 snRNA from yeast and human has been reported. U4 snRNA presents a k-turn RNA motif in the 5p-SL related to recognition of Snu13 protein. The record is from RNAcentral. Lineage: Eukaryota; Metazoa; Chordata; Mammalia; Primates; Aotidae.
AGCUUUGCGCAGUGGCAGUAUCGUAGCCAACGAGGUUUAUCCGAGGUGCGAUUAUUGCUAAUUGACAAAUAUUUCUGGUCUAGAAAAACACUGACCUUUGACAGACAUAUGUUU